Homo sapiens (human) is the source of this 2266-nucleotide long non-coding RNA. NCBI's taxonomy places the organism in Eukaryota, Metazoa, Chordata, Mammalia, Primates, Hominidae. The record is from Ensembl.
AGACACUGUGCUGGGUGCUGGCAGGACGAGAGUGGUGAACUAAACCAAGUCCUUCCUGUGGAGCUCACUGUCUAUGGACUGAUUCUUCCUUCGUGUCCUCAUCAUCUGCUCAGUCCAGGGAUGCAGUAGACGCUAGUUGCUACCUGAGGGGACAUCUGCUCUGGGACUCAGAGAAUGAUAAAGAGAUCUCCAGAAUAAAUGAAUCACUUUCAGAGAAAAGUAAAAGAACAAAAACACAAAAAUAAAAAACACACAAAAGAAGCAAAAAAAUACUACAUUCUCCCCAAAUUUCACAUCGUAAGUGGCUGGAAGUGCAAACAUAAAGGAUGCUAGCAACAUGGCCGCGGCAAGAGGAGCCUCUGGAGCAAGGUCAGCUUCUCCCCUGAUUUCUGGCUUUCAGCCAACAAGGCCAAUGGCUCUUCCAAACCAGCUGCUGCUGCUGAGCUCCAGAAGAGGGGCCUCUCAACUUCCAGAGGCCAGGAAGGCUCACCCUCGGAGCUCUCAGUUUUGUUUUUUAUACUGCAAGACAGAGAGAUUCGAAGUGGAGGAGGGAAGCCAACAGGGGCAGGAGGACUCUGGAGAAAUCUCAGGCCUCCAUCAUCUGGACCUCACCUGCCUCCUGCAGGGGCUUCUUGGAGGUGGUGAAACCCAAGCAGGAGGCACUGGGCAGCCAAAUCUCUAGUUCAUGCCUGGACUCCCUUUCUUCUUUAGUGAAAAAGGAAGCUGACAGGGCUGGGGAGGGAGGAUAGUGAUAACUCACUCUGGAGAGUGAGUUAGAAGGACAGGGAGGUAUGGUCACACUCCAACUCUCUAGGUCCUUCUAAUACCAGCAUCUAAGGGCCAAGACGCCAGUCUACAUUCCUGACUCACUCCCUUCCUCCACCAAAACAUACUGAAUGUUUCCUCCAUAAUUCUGCCCCAGUGUGAAUACCCCCCAGAGACAGGGAGUCCCCCGCCAGGACAGCUUCCCUCUCUGCGGCAUCACAGUGCCACCGCCGGCUCUGGCACUAUAGCUUUCCCUCCUUCUUCCUGCUGCCCCCUCUCAGCUCGAUCAGCACUGUUGGGCAGAAAUUUGCCUUUAAGGAUGAAGAGUGAGAGCCCCUCCCCACUUGCAGAAUAUAAAUGCAACCAGAAGGGAUUUGUCUUCACCUUUCAGCUUCUGGAGGAGGGAAGCAGCUGGCUGGUGGCCUCCUCCACAGGGACCAUUCUCAACUGUGGGGCAGGAGUGGCCUCUAGUGGUCAUGGGGAUCACAGCCAUCAUCACCCCAGCUCGCAGGCAGAGCCCAGGGGCCAAGCACCUACUUUGUUCAUGAUCCAGUCAGCAUCUUCAAUGGCUCUUUUAAUAAUCUGCUGGAUUCUCUCAGGGUUGUCUUCAUCUGAAUGAACCCGAAAACUCUGCAAGUUUAAGCAUAAAGAAAGAUGACUAGGCAAAAUUCCCAGGACAGGCAGCUUCAGAGCACCAAUCACAGGCCAGGGACACUGCUGGGCACUUUAUACCCAGCAGCUCUCUUCAUCCUCCAUAGACUGUUAUGAUUAUCCCACACAGAGAUGAGGAAACAGAGGCUCACUUGCUGCUGAACAAUAGCAUUUGAAUCCUAGUCUAUGUGACUGCAAAGCAUGUACUCCUGCCACCAAGGUAGGUGCAAAAAGACUGGCCCCCAAGUUACUGCCAAAUCAAGCUAGGCCCAAAGGCUAUCAGGCAGUAGAGUCCAAGGGGAAACUUCCAUCUCUCUUCCUCAGAAGACGCUGCUUUCCCCAGGGUGAGAUCUCUGCAUAGGCUUUACAGCAGGGAGGAAGAAGUAGGACUUCUCUCGGCCCAGUGCUAGGAGAGCUACACAGGGAAGGGAGGGGAGGUAGUAGAUAGAGUGGCCUCAGGAAAUCCACCCAGGCCCAGUGCAGAGCAUGGGAUACUGUUUGCUUUUGACCAGAUAUUCAUCCUUGAGAAGCAACCUAAGAUUCAGGUUUUGCUUUUCAAAAAGAACUGGCACCAGGCAUGGUGGCUCAUGCCUGUAAUCACAGCACUUUGGGAGGCCGAGGCGGGCAGAUCACCUCAGGUCGGGAGCUGGAGACCAGCCUGACCAACAUGAUAAACCCCAUCUCUACUAAAAAUACAAAGUUAGUCGGGCGUGGUGGCACAUGCCUGUAAUCCCAGCUACUCGGGAGGCUAAGGGAGGAGAAUCGCUUGAACCCAGGAGGCAGAGGUUGUGGUGAGCUGAGAUUAAGCCAUUGCACUCCAGCCUGGGCAACAAGAGUGAAACUCCAUCUC